This 147-nucleotide ribosomal RNA is filed under the name Candidatus Cloacimonadota bacterium. RNAcentral's name for it is "partial 23S ribosomal RNA". It matches the Rfam family "Bacterial large subunit ribosomal RNA", at positions 2767 to 2925 of the family's 2925-position model. The record is from RNAcentral. Lineage: Bacteria; Pseudomonadati; Candidatus Cloacimonadota.
AGCGCUGAAAGCAUCUAAGUGCGAAACCAACUACAAGAUCAGUUCUCACUUCAGGCCCGUUGGAGAUGACAACGUUGAUAGGCGGUAGGUCCAAGCACAGUAAUGUGUUCAGCCGAGCCGUACUAAUCGGCCGUGUGACUUGAUUUC